GAUUCUACAACAGCAGAAGUGCCUUUAACGUGGGUGACAAUUUUAGAAAACAUAAUGACGUGCAAAUGGCCACCAAAAAACAGUCGUAAAAAAAGCGAUAAAAAACGAAUAUCCCCGUUGGAUUCUUGGGAAACGUGGACCAUAGUGAACAUUUUAUUAAAAACUGACGAUUACCAAUAUGCUGUGGAUUUUGCAAGAAGGAAAACAAAAACGGAUACCGAUACAUCAGCUGCGGAAGCUGGCAGAAGGAAACGAAGGAUAAAAAAAAGAUCCAAGAAGAAUAUGCAAGCGAAUUCAAUAACGAUUCUUGCCAUGAGCAACAAUAUUGCAGAAUGACGCCACCUCCGUCAGUGUCUGCUACAUUUGAUCUUCCGUUAGAAGAUCAGUCGAACCAAGUAACUCAAACCUCAAUUGAAAAUACUGCGGAAAUCAGUGCUGAGAGGUAUAACAUUUUACCAGCCAUGAGUAACUAUCAAGGUUAGUCUAUUAUUUAAAGAAUGAGCGAUAUCUCCGCUUUAUGCUGAGGGUUAACUCUUCUUUGUUUUAUGGAGAAAAUCAGAUAGCCCAGUCGAAAAGCGACAAUAUCACCACCUCAGGCAGCAAUGAACCAAGGACCGGAAAGGACCCCGCACAAAUCGUAUGAGAAAUGGCCCUCAGCGGAUUUGGCUGAAAUUUUAGUAUGAUGUAGUCCUGGUCAUGCUGAACAAAAGUCUCAAUGGCACUGACAAGUUCUGAUGGCUAGUUUUCGAGUUACAAUAGAUUAAUGAUUAAUAAUUAGAAAAUUCAGCUAAUAUGAUUAAUGAAGUUUUAUCAAUAAACUGAUGGUAUCACAUGGUGUUCCGUAUUUUGCUAAUGCGUAUGAACA
Long non-coding RNA from Odontomachus brunneus, 865 nucleotides. RefSeq lists it as uncharacterized. The transcript is spliced from 4 exons. Lineage: Eukaryota; Metazoa; Arthropoda; Insecta; Hymenoptera; Formicidae. The record is from RefSeq and is a predicted model, not a curated record.